AAAUUGAAGAGUUUGAUCAUGGCUCAGAUUGAACGCUGGCGGCAGGCCUAACACAUGCAAGUCGAGCGGAAACGAGUUAUCUGAACCUUCGGGGGACGAUAACGGCGUCGAGCGGCGGACGGGUGAGUAAUGCC
RNAcentral lists this ribosomal RNA (134 nucleotides) under Vibrio alginolyticus. RNAcentral describes it as "partial 16S ribosomal RNA". It matches the Rfam family "Bacterial small subunit ribosomal RNA", at positions 1 to 117 of the family's 1533-position model. The record is from RNAcentral. Lineage: Bacteria; Pseudomonadati; Pseudomonadota; Gammaproteobacteria; Vibrionales; Vibrionaceae.